CCAGAUGAAAGGGCCCAGGCUCAGG
RNAcentral lists this non-coding RNA (25 nucleotides) under Rattus norvegicus (Norway rat). Lineage: Eukaryota; Metazoa; Chordata; Mammalia; Rodentia; Muridae. The record is from RNAcentral.